CCCUUAGAUGUCCGGGGCCGCACGCGCGCUACACUGAAGGAAUCAGCGUGGCUCUGUCCCUGGCCCGAAAGGAUUGGGAAACCCGUUGAAUCUCCUUCGUGAUAGGGAUUGGGGCUUGGAACUGUUCCCCAUGAACGAGGAAUUCCCAGUAAGCGCGAGUCAUAAGCUCGCGUUGAUUACGUCCCUGCCCUUUGUACACACCGCCCGUCGCACCUACCGAUUGAAUGACUCGGUGAAACAUUGGGACCACGAGGUCACUUGCUUCAUUGCGAGAGACUUUGAGGGAACUUUAGUAAACCUAUUCAUUUAGAGGAAGGUGAAGUCGUANCA
RNAcentral lists this ribosomal RNA (330 nucleotides) under uncultured eukaryote. RNAcentral's name for it is "partial 18S ribosomal RNA". It matches the Rfam family "Eukaryotic small subunit ribosomal RNA", at positions 1470 to 1796 of the family's 1831-position model. The record is from RNAcentral.